GCUGGGAGUGGUGGCGCAUGCCUCUAAUCCCAGCCACUUGGGAGGCUGAACCAGGAGAAUUGCCUGAACCCUGAAGGCAGAGGCUGUGGUGAGCCGGGAUCACGUCAUUGCACUCCAGGCUGGGCAACAAGACAUUCCAUCUUAAAAAAAAAAAAAAGCUGGUGACCUUCUGGGAGUGGGGGACCACCAGGUUGCCUAAGGAGGGGUGAACUGGCCCAAUCGGAAACAGAGCAGGUUAAAACUCCCAUGGGAUCAGUAGUGAGAUUGCGUCUAUGAAUAGUCACUGCACUCCAGCCUGGGCAACAAAGUGAGAUCCUGCCUCU
Molecule: signal recognition particle RNA, 323 nt
Filed under: Saimiri boliviensis boliviensis (Bolivian squirrel monkey)
Lineage: Eukaryota; Metazoa; Chordata; Mammalia; Primates; Cebidae
Description: Metazoan signal recognition particle RNA (ENSSBOG00000001390.1)
Rfam family: Metazoan signal recognition particle RNA
About the family: The signal recognition particle (SRP) is a universally conserved ribonucleoprotein. It is involved in the co-translational targeting of proteins to membranes.
Source: RNAcentral